CCAAUAGCGUAUAUUAGUGUUGUUGCGGUUAAAAAGCUCGUAGUUGAAUUUCGGGAUUGGGAUAUAUCGGUCGUGCCUUUAGGGGCAUGAAACGGUGUGUAGCCAAUUUCUCACCUUCUGGUGAGUCGGGAUGCUCUUGGGUGUUUCGAUGAACCCGGACAUUUACUUUGAAAAAAUUAGAGCGUUUAAAGCGGGCAUUUUUGCUUGAAUACAUUAGCAUGGAAUAAUAAAAUAGGACGAUGGUUCUAUUUUGUUGGUUUUAGGACUACGUAAUGAUUAAUAGGGAUAGUUGGGGGCAUUAGUAUUCAAUUGUCAGAGGUGAAAUUCUUGGAUUUAUUGAGGACUAACUACUGCGAAAGCAUUUGCCAAGGAUGUUUUCAUUAAUCAAGAACGAAAGUUAGGGGAUCAAAGACGAUUUAUGUACGUCGUAGUCUUAACCAUAAACUAUGCCGACUAGGAAUCAGACAAAGUUCAUUUUUUAACGACUUGUUUGGUACCUUACG
This 503-nucleotide ribosomal RNA is filed under the name uncultured Glomeromycotina. RNAcentral describes it as "partial small subunit ribosomal RNA". It matches the Rfam family "Eukaryotic small subunit ribosomal RNA", at positions 591 to 1092 of the family's 1831-position model. Lineage: Eukaryota; Fungi; Glomeromycota. The record is from RNAcentral.